Molecule: long non-coding RNA, 1702 nt
Filed under: Anser cygnoides (Swan goose)
Lineage: Eukaryota; Metazoa; Chordata; Aves; Anseriformes; Anatidae
Description: lncRNA (ENSACDG00005000444.1)
Source: RNAcentral
AUGCUGCACGUCCCCUCUCUGUGCCCUGGCACCCGCUCGGGACGAGGCCGGGCUGGCGGGGAGAGGUUUUGCUUUGAUCCGAGCGAACAGGAGCGGGGGAAAACCCAGGAGAGCUUCGGGCACCCGCGCGUCCCUCCCCUGGAGACCCCCGUGGGGGCGGGGGGCUGCUCCCCACCUGCAGCAGCACCAGCCUGCCAUCCCUCCUCGAUCUGCGCCAACGCGGCGCGGGGCAGGAGGGCAGCACCCGGCCGGGGCAGGUCUGCAGCAGCGAAGGAGCCGGCUCUCGGCAUUCCCAUUUUUGGGAACGGCUCUCCUCGACUUCGGGCUCGCUUCUCGGAGUCGGCCUGGCCUCGUGACUCCCCUCCUUCUCCGCCUGCCCCACGGGACGCCCGUCCCCAGCAGCGUGGACCCGCAGCUGGAGCAGGAGUGCAGGAAGGAGUGGAGAGGAGAAGCAACCCAGGCGCUGCUCUGGCAGGCGCCCAGCACGCCCAGCACCCCGGGGACCGGGGGGGCGCAGACGCCGAAAAACUUCCUGAGGCAUCCACGGCCCCAGCCCAGCCAUCGCUCCGGGUUUUGCAAAGUAUUUUAAGGCAUAAAGGAAUGCGAGCGGCGAGAAGAGGGUCACGUCGGAACCGUGACGAACAGGGGAGAUUCGUCAUCGGCGGUGACGAGCCCUUCUCAAAAUCAUUUUCCCCCAAAUAGCUGCAGUUUACACAAACCACGCCAAGAGGAGAGCUAAACGGGGAGCGGGAGCAUCUGGCUGCCCACGCCGCUUUCUCCCCUGGGGCAGGGAAAGGAGGGAGAUGAGUCUGCGGUUGUGCGGCCGACCGGACACCCGCCCUGACCCCGCAGCAGGCUGGAAGGCAGCGCCCGUGCUCGGCCACGCUCAGCGCCAGGCCUGCCCGGAGCGAGGAAAGGAGCCAGGACGGGAAGAAACGCGGCCCGGGUGGCCACCUCCUGUGCCCUGGGGGCAAGGCUGGACCAGGAGGUCGUCCCCAAGAGCCAUCUCAGUCCCCAUCGCCCUGCCACUUCGGGCGGUUUUGGGACGCGAACAAGCGUCCCCACGUCCUUCAGGGUUCCCAGCCAGCCCUCCAGUGCCGGUGCACCCGGGGACGGCACCCGCUCCAAAAAAGGGCUGACUUUUGUCGAGGUUCCUCCUCCUCUCCCCCGGGGUGACAAAUUUCUGCUGAAUUUGGCCUUCUGGCCUUGCCCAGCCUGGCGAGGAACUCCCCAGCGGUGACACUUGGGCCUCUUUUCCACCCGAGCAGCGUGCGCCCGGCGGUGCCGUGCCCUUCCAAGGGUGUCCCCGGGGCGGCGCAGGGCUGACGGGUGCCAGCACCCCGUAACGCCCGCGGGCUUCACCUUGCGAGGCAGCUCCUGCGGAUGGCUGCAGCUCGCCGGGGUGGGCUUUCAGCACAAAACGGCACGGUUCUGCCAGGAGCGAGGACAAGGAGCGGGGGCACCAGGACGGCCACGAAAAGCGACGCGUGGGCUGGGCGCCCCGGGCUGCGGCACCACGGAGGGCUCCGGGCGGGGGGCUGCCACCAAAAAGUCGGCGCCGUGCUCCGCAGCGCCACGAGGCUCCACGUGGAGCCCCACGGCGACGCUCUGCACCCGAAAGGAGCUGACAAUCGGGGCACUGAAGAAGGCGGCGUGUUUCUUCUUCUCGACGUGCCCACGAGGAGAACGUCAUCGCGGUGGC